Molecule: ribosomal RNA, 253 nt
Filed under: uncultured bacterium
Lineage: Bacteria
Description: partial 16S ribosomal RNA
Rfam family: Bacterial small subunit ribosomal RNA
Source: RNAcentral
UACGAAGGGGGCUAGCGUUGCUCGGAAUCACUGGGCGUAAAGCGCACGUAGGCGGAUUGCUAAGUCAGGGGUGAAAUCCUGGAGCUCAACUCCAGAACUGCCUUUGAUACUGGCGACCUUGAGUCCGGAAGAGGUGAGUGGAACUGCGAGUGUAGAGGUGAAAUUCGUAGAUAUUCGCAAGAACACCAGUGGCGAAGGCGGCUCACUGGCCCGGUACUGACGCUGAGGUGCGAAAGCGUGGGGAGCAAACAGG